UGCUUGGGCCCAUCGAAUCCCUCUCCUUUUGAGCGUGCUACUCGUCUCUUGUCAGCCUGUUAGAUAAGACAAGCCGCUCAGUGUAGGCAAUGUUAUUCGUAUUUAAAGGAAACAAAAGGGACUUCCUAUGUACGAGGAGAGCGUUUGAUAGGCCUGUUCAGACAACCCUGCGGAUCACCGCCCGAUGCUUGCGUCGCCGGUUGCGCAAAUUUGACGUCAGGAGAUUGGGAUAAAAACAUAUUGGAAUAGUUUUGCGUUAUAAGGCGCCUAUUCUGGUCCCAUCCUAACCUUGAUGUAUAUACGCAGACCAUCUUCUGAUGCUACCGACAGCGCUUUGCUAGCGGCAUUCUUCCCUAUUGUGGUUUUCACGCUACAUGCGCUGCCGAUCCAUUUUUGCACUUGAUAGUGAGUCCUUUGCUGCCAGCUGUGCUUUUCUCAAGACAAUGUGUCCCGUUUCUGCUGCUCUUGUAACCCCGUUAGUUUCGGCCAAAUCCACUCCACGUUCAUUUCAUUCCCUGCUGAACAACAUAUUCAACGUCAUGGCAAAAUUAAUUUUAUUGAAGUAAUUUCGACAUUAAAGCUUUAAAGGGUUUAAAAUAUUUGAGCCUCAUUCGUUAAUAAUAAAGCCAUGCUGGUGAAUUAUCUCCUUGUGUGUUUCCUGGCAUUUGUGGAUGCAAACAUGAGAAACAGAAAUUUCACACCAUGCGAACAACGGAUAAAUCAGUGCCCUCGAGGCAGCAUACCCAACUGCCUGGUUAAAGACAGGGUGAACGAACAUUUCGUAUGCUCCUCGGCGAGACAAGCAUGUUUCCUGCCAUGGUCUACACAUUGUGCAAAUUCCAGUGAUAUGUGUUGUACUCACUAUCCAACUCAUUGUGAAUGCCAUUGUGAGGUCAGGCACAGAUCGCCGCUUCGAAGUCCACCACAACAACGCCUGGGCAAGCACCGGAUGCCAGGAAGAUCCUAAACUUAUGAACUGCUCUUUGGCAAUGCUCAGAUCACAUCGUGUACUGGUGUUCAGGAAUACAAUACUGUAUGUUGAAACAGGAAUUAAGAGCGUUCGCACUAGCGUUCUAAUACUUCUAAAUCUUGUAGGUCUUCCGAAAAAUGGCAAUAGCGACCUCCUCGCUACGUUCAUUGUAAUGCAAAGGAGGAUUCUGUUUCUAGGGGUACAAGAUCGAUGUGUCUCGUUGCAUCUAUAAUGGCACGCCACCCACUGAAGCUUACUAAAGGCGCCGGAAAAUUUGUAAUGACAGUCUAAUACCCCUGUCACACUGGGAGUUUUAAUGUCAUUCGAAUCGAAUGGCAUUCGGUGCAACGAAUGUCAUUUGCCCGCGGAGGUGCUACACUCGAAAAAUUAAUGUCAUUCGGUGGCGAUAUCAAUGGCGAUAAUUCCGAAAAAUACGUGGCACCGAAAGUAGAACAAGGUAGGUAUAAAGUGCUUGCAUAAGCAAUCCAUAUAUUUAAAUGUAUUUUUGGGACGUCACUUCACUGAAAAAAAAUAUUUUAGUAAUGCCUAUAAAAAAAGGUUGUUCUAUUUGAGACCAUGUGGCCACUAUAAGCCAAAACAAGGCUUAGCCACCUGAGUAGCCGAUAAAUUGAAAACAAACAAAAUGGCUGACAUGACGAUGCUGGACGACGACGCUAAGCGAUUAGUUGCUGCGUACUUUGCAUUACGAGAAGGCGUAAUAAUCGGAGGAAGCGAUUAGGCGUUCUAUGGCCGACGAGCAGAGUGGCGGCGGCAUGGGCGGCGGCCAGAUGCUGCUGAGCUGGAGAGUAACAACAUUUUGCCACAGCCGGCCGCACAUAUUUUGCCUCUUUAUUAAAGUAACAAAACCAUUAAAACACGCAAACGUUAUUAUUUCUAUACGAGUACGGUUUUCAAUUUGCAAAUACUGUGUCCUGUUUUGCUUAGUUUCUAGGGUUGAGAGUACACAUUC
This is a long non-coding RNA of Dermacentor andersoni, 1940 nucleotides long. RefSeq lists it as uncharacterized. The record is from RefSeq and is a predicted model, not a curated record. Lineage: Eukaryota; Metazoa; Arthropoda; Arachnida; Ixodida; Ixodidae.